Salvia splendens (bonfire salvia) is the source of this 296-nucleotide long non-coding RNA. RefSeq lists it as uncharacterized. The record is from RefSeq and is a predicted model, not a curated record. The transcript is spliced from 3 exons. Lineage: Eukaryota; Viridiplantae; Streptophyta; Magnoliopsida; Lamiales; Lamiaceae.
AUGAAUGUUCACUGCUGAGGGAUGUAUUAGAGGAAAAGCUGACGAGGAAAGAUCAUUCUUAACUUGUGGGUGAAGGCGCUUACGUAAAGUCUAAGAAAACCAUCGGGAAGAUUAGAGUUCAAGUUCGUAAUGUGAAAAUGGGGACGAAGCAACCCACUGGUUUCACGUUUACAUCUUUAAAGUCUUCAUCCACGGUGAAGCUGGAAACAUUUCAGCAAAGGUUAUCAAAUGUGAAAUUGGUUGUUUCAUCCAACAAAAAGAAACAAAAAAAAGAAAAAAAAGAAAAAAAGAAAAAA